Molecule: long non-coding RNA, 3080 nt
Organism: Oncorhynchus tshawytscha (Chinook salmon)
Lineage: Eukaryota; Metazoa; Chordata; Actinopteri; Salmoniformes; Salmonidae
Source: Ensembl
UGUCUGUCUGUCUGUCUCUCUCUGUGUCUCUGUCUCUGUCUCUCUCUGUCUCUCUGUCUCCCUAUUCCCCCCCCAGUGUUGAGGAAGGGUCAGGUGGUGACCGGGUACUACCGUUGGCUCCAGAGGAGAGGGGGUUAUCUGUGGGUCCAGUCCUGUGCCACCGUCUCCAUCAACCACAAAGCCCCCCACGAACGCAACGUCAUCUGGGUCAACUACAUCAUCAGUCGAACAGAGCUCCCAGACACUCCCCUGGAUCUGCUGCAGCUCCCAGAGAGUCUGAGGGCGGAGCGUCUGAAAGCCAGCUCCUCCCCUUCGGAACUCACACCACAAGCCCGGGGUCCACAGCCAAUGAAAAGCUCUGUGUGUAAAGGUGACCCUGACUCUAAACUGAGAGAGAUCUAUAAUCCCGGAGUCCAAUCAGGGGACAGGAGGAAGCGUCCGCUGCGGUCUGACUCUGAAGGCGCUCCCCCAGAAACGCGGCGUCGCCUGGAAGAGUUCCGCCAGAGAGAGGGGAGUGUGUCCGCCUCCUCAGACCUGGGCAGUGAGAGCGAGGGAGAGGGGAGAGCCUGGGAGCAGGGGGGAGACAGCGCGAGGGUCAAACGAGAGGAGGGGCCUUCGAAACGAGGUGGGGAGACCCCAGUGAGGGGCGGCGGGGUGCACAACGGCCGUGCGGUAAUCCAGCACCUGAAGAGUGUAGUGUCCUCGCCUCUCUCUGGUCCCCACAACAUCAAGACUGAACAUGAGGCACUGGCUGCAGGGGGUCGCUGGACACACACACACACCUCCUCACACACACAACCCCCACCCUCGCACACACACACCCCUUGCGGCAGCCUGAACGGCGACAGUCCCCCGACCCCUAUCCCGGACUCCUCCUCCAGCAGUGAAGCCCCACCCAAAGGUAUUUUCACCCCGCCCUCCCCCGCCAUGUCUCCUCCCAUGUCCGGCUCCUCCCCUCUACCCUGUGAGGAGCGGGGAAUGUUGUCUGGAGGCCGGGUGGGCGGGCCUGACUUUGAGCUGUUGCAGAGACUGGCAGCGGGGGGUGCUGCAGGACGGGUGCUGUUCCACCCCCUGACCCUCGGCCCCCAGGGGCCACAGAGCCUGUACGCCCCCAGUACCAUCCGCUAUGCGCCCCCAGAGCUGCCCCCCUCCCACCCCGGUGCUGAGGGGCUGCGCGCCGACCACCACAAGGGCCCCCCAGCCUUCUUCCCCCACCUCCAGAGGCUGGCCGGCCUGCCCUCCUUCAGUGGGUUCUCCGGCUCGGACAAUCCCUUCAACCCCUUCUGUAUGAACGGACUGAGGGGGGCCGCAGGGUCGGAGGAGGACUGAAAGAGAGGAGGGGCUAGAGAGAGAGACAUGGGGGGCAGGACAUUGGAACAUAUGGGGUUGGGAAACUGAAGAAAGGACCAUUUGCACUGCUUCCGUUGGGGAGUCAGAUGGUGUCCGACACAGGCGACAGGAUGGGUGACACUCAAAGUGGACUUUGACACUUGACUUUACCCCACUAGCUGUCCAAGCUUUGUCCCCCUCUCUGCUCUACCACAUCCUCUCUCCGCUGCUGUUAAAUGACUGUGCAGUGUUCCAUGUCUAAAGCCAUAUUGUACAUAGAGACAGAGCCAUGACAUACCUUCACUACUCCUUCCUCAGUAUUAUAACAACUGCUCCUGAGUCUGUGUGACUGAAGGAGAAAGAAAAAAAAGGGGGGGGGGAAAUGGAUGACAUUUUUUUCACUUGUUUGUGUGAAAUACUGAAUCGUCUCUUAAACAGAGUUAGAAACUAUAUUCUGACACAAUAGUGGAAAUAUCGAGGUCUGAGCCGAUCUCAUGGACGCCCAAAAUAAUAUCCGAACACAUCUCGGGUACUCCUUCCUUCCAUAAAGGGAACCCCGCUGAAGAGGGUUUGUAACACUGAAAGCACAGAGGAGUGAGAGAGUCCCAGAUGACAUUCCAUUCCACUCUGAGACUGUUCUGUCUGGGGAAGAAAGGUAUGGGAGGGAGAACGUACAAUACCUCUACUGGCUGGUCACUUUGUAAUGUUUUCAGUCUUGUAAAAACUGGAAAAAUGGUCCUACAGAAUGAAAAGACGCUGGGCUGUGCUGUGUAUGAGAUGAAAGCCAUAGUCCUGUUAUAUUGUCAUGUUGUUGUCAUAGGGUGAAGUGGGAGAGGUGUAAAAACGAUUGUCUUGCUAGAGGACAUACUUUGGGAAAUGCCACAGUUGAAUUCAGAAACCCUCAACAAAUGUAUUAGAAAUAAAGGGUUUAGGGAGGGGUGGGGGGGGGGGGGUGGAUCUUCUUUUUUCUCAAAAUAUUUGUCCCGAGCACUUACUGAAAUUUGUUAUGAACACAUAGCACUUCAUCUUUUGAAUUUCCUUGUGUGUAUUAAGGAUUAAAUACAAGAGUGGUCAAGAUGAAUUACCACAAACGGCCUACAAAAUGUAGGGUAAUUUAAAGAAAGACCACAGGAGUUUAAUACAUGGUCAUUAAACGUGUGGUCGUUCAAAUAUGACCGUGGGGAUUUAGUACAGUUGGUGGUCAAUAAAAAAAGAACCAACUUUUUGUUCUCAAAGUGGAACAUCCAUAUUAGGUCGUUAGAGGUGGGCUGGAAAACAGGGGUCAAAUAUUCAUAUAUUAAAUCAUAUCAAAUAUAUUAAUUUUUAUACUCAUCACCAGAUAUUCCAUCCAAAAUAUUGUGAGGUCAUAAAAGAAAGACAUCCCAAACUGAUAUUAAAAGAGAGAUUAAAAUGCCCCGAUCGUAAAUCGCUAUCCUGGUCAAAAAUGAAGCGUUGCUGAUGGACUGGGUUGGAUGUCGGCUGGACAAGACCAUAUCUGGCAUACAGGGGGGUGUGUGUGCGUCGGUUCUAAUUCCACUGGCUCUACUACAAUGAGACCAGAUAAAAACCCUAAGCAUUACUGUGACUCUAACCCGUUUCUGUUCAAAUAUCUGUGAAUAUACCAUCCACUUCUGAUCGUCCAAUUAAAAUGAACCAAUGUAUAAAAACUAUCAUACUGAUGACGACAAUAAAAUAUUUCAUUAGAGGAGCACAAGAAACAUUUCUGAUAUCCUUGUUCUGGUGUCUGCCUG